Molecule: ribosomal RNA, 90 nt
Filed under: uncultured bacterium
Lineage: Bacteria
Description: partial 16S ribosomal RNA
Source: RNAcentral
UAAAGCACUUUAGGUUGGGAAGAAGGUAUGUAGUUUAAGAGAUGACAUAUUUGACUGUACCAACAGAAUAAGCACCGGCUAACUCUGUGC